CCUACGGGGGGCAGCAGUAGGGAAUCUUCCGCAAUGGACGAAAGUCUGACGGAGCAACGCCGCGUGAGCGAUGAAGGCCUUCGGGUCGUAAAGCUCUGUUGUUAGGGAAGAACACGUACGAGAGUCACUGCUCGUACCUUGACGGUACCUAACCAGAAAGCCACGGCUAACUACGUGCCAGCGGCCGUGGUAAUACGGAGGUGGCAAGCGUUGUCCGGAAUUAUUGGGCGUAAAGCGGGCGGAGGCGGUCACUUAAGCCUGAUGUGAAAGACCACGGCUCAGCUGUGGAGGGUCAUUGGUAACUGGGGGAGUAGAGUGCAGAAGAGGAGAGUGGAACUCCACGUGUGGCGGUGAGAUGCGUAGAGAUGUGGAGGAUCACCAGUUGCGAAGGCGGCUCUCUGGACUGUAACUGACGCUGAGGCACGAAAGCGUGGGGAGCGAACGGGAUUAGAUACCAUUGUAGGC
This 465-nucleotide ribosomal RNA is filed under the name uncultured bacterium. RNAcentral describes it as "bacterial SSU rRNA". It matches the Rfam family "Bacterial small subunit ribosomal RNA", at positions 338 to 795 of the family's 1533-position model. The record is from RNAcentral.